Molecule: microRNA precursor, 59 nt
Filed under: Strongyloides ratti
Lineage: Eukaryota; Metazoa; Nematoda; Chromadorea; Rhabditida; Strongyloididae
Description: microRNA str-mir-7880a precursor
Source: miRBase by way of RNAcentral
CAGUUGGAUCGAUCAGCAAAAAACGUUUAAAAAUUUUUUGCGACUGUAUCCAAACUACG